Molecule: ribosomal RNA, 520 nt
Filed under: uncultured Glomus
Lineage: Eukaryota; Fungi; Glomeromycota; Glomeromycetes; Glomerales; Glomeraceae
Description: SSU rRNA
Rfam family: Eukaryotic small subunit ribosomal RNA
Source: RNAcentral
AGCAGCCGCGGUAAUUCCAGCUCCAAUAGCGUAUAUUAAAGUUGUUGCAGUUAAAAAGCUCGUAGUUGAAUUUCGGGGUUAGUAGAUCGGUCGUGCCACUGGUAUGUACUGGUCUUACUGAUUCCUCCUUCCUGAUGAACCGUAAUGCCAUUAAUUUGGUGUUGCGGGGAGACUGGACUGUUACUUUGAAAAAUUAGAGUGUUUAAAGCAGGCUAACGCUUGAAUACAUUAGCAUGGAAUAAUGAAAUAGGACGUUCGAUCCUAUUUUGUUGGUUUCUAGGAUAGACGUAAUGAUUAAUAGGGAUAGUUGGGGGCAUUAGUAUUCAAUUGUCAGAGGUGAAAUUCUUGGAUUUAUUGAAGACUAACUACUGCGAAAGCAUUUGCCAAGGAUGUUUUCAUUAAUCAAGAACGAAAGUUAGGGGAUCGAAGACGAUCAGAUACCGUCGUAGUCUUAACCAUAAACUAUGCCGACUAGGGAUCGGAUGAUGUUAAUUUUUAAUGACUCAUUCGGCGCCUUACG